AUGAUAGGUCCCGGUGUGUGAUGUUCCCCUUCCUGAGUCCAAGUGUUCUCAUUGUUCAGUUCCCGCAUGUUCUCACUCAUAGGUGAGAAUAUUUGUUUUUUAAAGUCUAAAUAAGUUGCAGCCAAAAAAUGCAAAGCCAUCUUCUAAUUAAAAAUUUGUCACUUUUUUUUUCCACAGGCUUUACACUUAAGAGUUUAGGCUAGAAUUUUAACUUAAUGUUUACAGCUUUUUUUCUUAGCUAGGUCUCUCCAAAGGAAAGACUAUACAGUCCUGUUUUUAAAAGCUGCCUGAGAAAUUAUGUAUCUUAAUUUGUUUUUAUUUUAUUGGUUACUAAUGCUUUAACUGACAUCACCAAAAAAGGGGAGAAUAUGGAAACAUUUAGAAUUCAGAGUUUAUUAAUUGUAACAGGGAUUUACUUUUUACAUUCAUAUUACCACUAAAGAAUAUCUACACAGGCAAUAAAAGAAUGCACUUUAAACUGAUUAGCUAAAAACUCUAAAAAACUUUUUUUUAAAGCAAACUGGGUGACUCUCCUAAAACUGUGUCGUUUUCUUAAAGGCUUUGAACUGGGUUCACAGUAUGUGACAAAUAUAUGUAAACAUUAACUACUUUUAAAAACUGGAAAGUGUUCCCCAGCAAAGAAUCAACCUUUCAGGCUUAAGAAUUAAUUUAAUAUGCAAUGCUUUUAAGAUUUUAUCAGCAUAUUACAAAAUGAAUUUAUAUAACAAGUUAUAUCACACAUACUCUCAUUCUAACCAAAUGUACUUAAACAUUCAUUUGGCUAUGAAGAGAUUAUGAAAUAUGUAAUGCCAAUAUAAAGAAUAAAAUUCAUCCUGAGACAUAGAAAGGAGAAAAAAAUCUAAUUUUUCUAGAGCCAAUUAUAGCCAUGAUUAAAUUAUUCUAUUUAUUCCUUACAACAAUAUAUUGAAAUAGGUGUGAUCACCUUCAUUUUACAUUUGAAAAGAAUAAAGUUCAGCAUGGUUACAUAACUUGUCCAGUUCACAAAGCUAGUAAGGACAAGAUAAGAAGAUUCGAACCCAAAGCUCUCUGCAAAUUUCUGACUGCUUAUGCUCUUGCUACUACUAACUGCAGAACAACAUUCCAGAGGGUAAAUCGAAAAACUCACAAAAAAAGAGAUAUGUAUAUAUUGUAUUACAGUCUAAAAUGGAGUAAAACUGAAUGACUGAAAAACUCACAUGGAAAAUAAAUUAGAAGAGUUAGCAGAAGAAUACUAAAACAACCAAUUCUAAACUUUUCAAACACACACAAAAAACUGAACUACAAGAAAAGAAAAAACAACCAUAAUCUUAAACAUCCUUGAAAAGAAAAACCUCAAUCCAUUACUAAAAAUACUUCAUUGUUUUCAUCCAACAUGUCCCCGAUUCCAUAGUUACCUCCAUUCAAAAUCUAAAAUUGAAACCAGGAUGAGAGUUCAUAAAUGUUUUCCCAUCAUUCUUACCUAAUUCUUUGCUUAAAAGGUUUAGAAGGAGAUAGGUAUUAACAAGUGCAUCACUAUCUAGAGAAGUUUUUUGUUAUUGUUUUGUUAUGUUUUGUUGUGUUUUUAUAAAGAAACUAACCGUUCUUUCACAAGGAUCUAGCCAUUAACCCUUUCAAGAAAUAGUUACUUAAUGCCUACCUUCGUUGCGGCACGGAUCCAAGAACUAGAAAUACAAAGUCAUACAGAACUCAGCAGCUAUCUUCUGGAUAUUGCAUCAUGGGGGAACUGACAUUUGAACAAACAAUUUUAGAAAAGAUGCAUACAUUGUGAGAAAUUCCUCCAGGUGAGUUUCUCUCUUCUAACUUGUCUUAUUGGGUAUGCCAAGAAUGCAAGGACCUGACUGAUCUUUAUCAGUGUCAUUUCUCAGGAUUGUGUUUGCAACAAGCAACCUUGAGGGAUAAGGUAAAGCCUCUCUUCAGUAUAAAGAGUAGGCUUGUUUAUUGCUUGCUAAUGGAACAGCUGGUAACCCAAGUUCACUCCUUCUUGGUUGUGAUGCCACCCUCUACAUACACAGUAUAUACCUGGGCCUAGGUCAUUUUAUUCCUACAGGAUAUGGAGGCAAGGAGAACCAAUAUAAACACGAUGCUCAUGCUGCUUGCUGUACCAUAAUAGUCUUUUGUCUCUGACUCAGAAGUCUCAUGUCAUCUGCUAACAUCCAUGGAAGAGUUACAGGGCCAUUAUGAUAAACAAGCAGCAUCUUUACCACAGGAAGUUGGAUACCAAGUCAUCAGACACUGGAAGUAUAGAGACGCUAAACUCAUGUAACCCUCACCACAACUUUAUGAGACAGCUGAAUUUCUACCCUGUCCUAACUUUGCUGAUCUUUAAGAAACGGGACUUCUGCAAUAAAAAGUUCCCUUUACAACCAGACCAGCUGAGACUGGUUAGAACUGAGAUAGGCAAACGAAUGACAUCAAAAAGACCUCGGGCUUCAUUAUAAUCUCAUUUUCAUACUAUAUGACAUGCCCACCAGCACCAUGACAGCUGAAAAUGACCAUGACAAGGACCGGAAGAGGCCAUAAAAAGACAAAAAGGAAAGCAGCACUCCAAUUCACCAUCAAUUGUGAAACCGAUGGAAGUUCACCACCAAUUUCCAGAAAAGAAAUGCAUGCUGCUCCUCUUGCUUUUUAUGUCCUUUAUUAGAGAAAUCCUUUUAUUUUAACCCCCUCACCCUUCUCUAGUUGAGAAGUUGAUUUGUGAGCCACGCUCCUGUUUCUCAAUUCCAUGGACACUGAAUAAAGCCUGCACUUGAUACCCACUUUCGGUUUUGUGUAUAGG
Non-coding RNA from Macaca mulatta (Rhesus monkey), 2776 nucleotides. NCBI's taxonomy places the organism in Eukaryota, Metazoa, Chordata, Mammalia, Primates, Cercopithecidae. The record is from RefSeq and is a predicted model, not a curated record.